RNAcentral lists this ribosomal RNA (659 nucleotides) under uncultured archaeon. RNAcentral's name for it is "bacterial SSU rRNA". It matches the Rfam family "Archaeal small subunit ribosomal RNA", at positions 82 to 725 of the family's 1478-position model. The record is from RNAcentral.
CAUACGGCUCAGUAACAUGUGGUUAACCUACCCUCAGGUGGGGGACACCCUCGGGAAACUGAGGCUGAUCCCACAUAGAUGAUGGAUCCUGGAAUGGUUCUUCAUCCAAACGGUAUGCGGCUCAUGCGUCGCGUGCCGCCUGAGGAUGGGACCGCACCCUAUCAGGUAGUUGGUGGGGUAAUGGCCCACCAAGCCUAUAACGGGUACGGGCCCUGAGAGGGGGAGCCCGGAGAUGGGCACUGAGACAAGGGCCCAGGCCCUACGGGGCGCAGCAGGCGCGAAACCUCUGCAAUGCGCGAAAGCGCGACAGGGCCACCCCGAGUGCUAGGCGCUGAGUCUAGCUUUUCCCUAGUGUAGUGAGCUAGGGGAAUAAGCGGGGGGCAAGCCUGGUGUCAGCCGCCGCGGUAAUACCAGCUCCGCGAGUGGUCGGGACGAUUAUUGGGCCUAAAGCGUUCGUAGCCGGCCUAUCAAGUCUCUGGUUAAAUUUCAAGGCUUAACCUUGAGCGUGCUGGAGAUACUGUUAGGCUAGGGGGCGGGAGAGGUUGAGGGUACUUCGCGGGUAGGGGCGAAAUCCUAUAAUCCGCGAAGGACCACCAGUGGCGAAGGCGCUCAACUGGAACGCGCCCGACGGUGAGGGACGAAAGCCAGGGGAGCAAAGG